GGAGGGAGCGAGCGUUGUUCGGAAUCACUGGGCGUAAAGGGCGUGUAGGCGGCCUGGUGAGUCCAGCGUGAAAGCUCCCGGCUCAACUGGGAGAGGUCGUUGGAUACUGCCAGGCUUGAGGACCGAAGAGGGGGGUGGAAUUCCCGGUGGAGCGGUGGAAUGCGUAGAUAUCGGGAGGAACACCAGUGGCGAAGGCGGCGUCCUGGCCCGCACCUGACGCUAAGACGCGAAAGCGUGGGUAGCGAACGGGAUUAGAUACCCCGGGUAGUCCUAGCUGUAAACGAUGUGGACUUGGCGUUGGUGGGGUCAAAUCCCAUCAGUGCCCGUAGCUAACGCGAUAAGUCCACCGCCUGGGGGACUACGACCGCAAGGUUA
Molecule: ribosomal RNA, 375 nt
Filed under: uncultured organism
Description: partial 16S ribosomal RNA
Rfam family: Bacterial small subunit ribosomal RNA
Source: RNAcentral